RNAcentral lists this ribosomal RNA (398 nucleotides) under uncultured bacterium. RNAcentral describes it as "bacterial SSU rRNA". It matches the Rfam family "Bacterial small subunit ribosomal RNA", at positions 358 to 773 of the family's 1533-position model. The record is from RNAcentral.
GGAAUAUUGGACAAUGGGCGAAAGCCUGAUCCAGCAAUGCCGCGUGAGUGAUGAAGGCCUUAGGGUUGUAAAGCUCUUUUACCCGGGGUGAUAAUGACAGUACCGGGAGAAUAAGCUCCGGCUAACUCCGUGCCAGCAGCCGCGGUAAUACGGAGGGAGCUAGCGUUGUUCGGAAUUACUGGGCGUAAAGCGCGCGUAGGCGGUUUUUGGUGUCGGAUGUGAAAGCCCGGGGCUCAACUCCGGAGGUGCAUCCGAAACUCGAAGGCUGGAGGCCGGAAGAGGAGGGUGGAAUACCCAGUGUAGAGGUGAAAUUCGUAGAUAUUGGGUGGAACACCGGUGGCGAAAGCGGCUCUCUGGUCCGGUCCUGACGCUGAGGCGCGAAAGCGUGGGGAGCAAAC